GCUCCCUGCGCUAUCCUGGGUCCGCCGCAACUCCUGGGAUCCGUAGGGCGGCUGGUCCGGAUGUGGACAGAGUGGCCUCUUCGACAUGCCACUCCGGAUCAGCCACUUU
Molecule: small RNA, 109 nt
Filed under: Devosia epidermidihirudinis
Lineage: Bacteria; Pseudomonadati; Pseudomonadota; Alphaproteobacteria; Hyphomicrobiales; Devosiaceae
Description: EcpR1
Rfam family: EcpR1
About the family: Perviously named SmelC291, SmrC10, or Sra33. According to its overproduction phenotype it was renamed Elongated Cell Phenotype RNA1. Induced by stress,EcpR1 negatively regulates cell cycle master regulatory genes dnaA and gcrA at post-transcriptional level by base pairing between its strongly conserved GC-rich loop and the target mRNAs.
Source: Rfam by way of RNAcentral